RNAcentral lists this microRNA precursor (146 nucleotides) under Mustela putorius furo (domestic ferret). RNAcentral describes it as "miRNA (ENSMPUG00000021905.1)". Lineage: Eukaryota; Metazoa; Chordata; Mammalia; Carnivora; Mustelidae. The record is from RNAcentral.
UAGUGGCAAGCGAGGUGGACAGUGAAGGAGAAGGAGAGGAAGAGGAAGAAGAAAAAGAAAAAGAGAAAGAGGCAUCUUUUAUUGAGGAUUUAAGUGAGUGCCCAGUUUAAUCACUGUACAUGUUUUAUCUCCAUGAAAUAGUCAUU